AUGUGGAAAUUGAGGCUCAUAAAGGUUAACAUCCCCAAAUAAGGGUCUACAUCCAAAUCCUACGCUCUUAAGUCCUGUAUUGUCUCCCAAAUGAAGAGGGGCUUCUCGUUAAAAUGACCUGGAAGUGGCAUAGGGAGCUAAAGAUGAUAAAAACCUGUCUCCUGGCUUUGGCUUAUGAGGAGAUAGUAUCAGAUCCCACAGGUUUGAUUCUACAAGACUGCCCCAACUUCAGAUGCUGACUGCAAACCCCAGGCUGUGGCCUGAUCAGCUGGCUAUAAAUUGGACUUCCAACGACCCCCACCUUGAAUUCUAUUGAUUUGCUGGAGCAGCUCACAGAACUUGGGGAAACACUUUAUUUACCUCUACUCAUUUAUUAUAAAGAAAGGAUACAAAGAGCCAGAUGGAAGAUAUGCAUAAGGGAAGAUGCUGCACCCCACCAGGAAGAACAUUAGAUUAUACUAUGCCCACAUUAAUUACUUUCCCCCUCAUCACCUUAGAAAAUACUUUCAUUUUUCAGUAUUGUGUGGACACCUGUGAGCUGGUUGUUUUGGAAAAGGAAAAACCCAACCAAUUAAAAUGGACUGCUCUGUUAAAGAACAUAACAUGAUCAGGGAAGAUGGCAAGUAUUUAUUUGUUUUUAAAAAUAAGCCUGUGGAGAGAUGGAGGUGAUUCUGACUAUCAAAUGUUUUACAAAGAUAUUCAGAAAAUCAUUUAUAUUUUGUCUGUGAAUAAAUUGUAAUUACAC
Molecule: long non-coding RNA, 745 nt
Organism: Symphalangus syndactylus (siamang)
Lineage: Eukaryota; Metazoa; Chordata; Mammalia; Primates; Hylobatidae
Source: RefSeq, a predicted model, not a curated record